UCCCCCGGCCCCGCCAAGAACAACCUCCGCACCGCCAUGAAGCAGGUUCCAGGUCGACCUCUUCCAGGACUAUCGAGAUCAAGCCCACCGAGGGCGACACGACGCUGACCUGGGACGUGAAGGUGUUGGGGUGGGACGUGAUGUACAAGGAGGAGUCUGUGCCGGCCGACGAUGGCGCCUACACCAUUGUGGUGAGCAAGGGCUUACAUUGAUUGGCUACAUAAAGGUUUGAAGCAGCCUACCCAACAAUAAAGGAGCUGGCUCUUGUUGGUACUCCUGGCUCUAAUGCUGUUUAGCCAGCAUCAUAGCAGCUUUUGCCAUUGGCUGUGAAGGCAAUUCAAGAAAAUAAUGCAGAGCUUGACAAGGAGGCCACUGAUGUGUUCAUUUGGUGCUUGACUUAGAGUCCAGAGUCCUACAAGCUGUGGGUGAGCGAUAUUUUUGUUUUCUUUGCCUUUGUACAACUCUGUCCCAUACAAGAAAGUGGCUCAGACUGAUGUUUAAUUUCUGUUUCCAGGACAAGCUUCAUGCAGAGAAUACCCAAGCUACAAUUUACUGCAAUUCACAUGUUUUGAAUUCUUCAAUCUUGAAUUGUUCAAUGAUGAUAGCUAUCUUGCACCGUUCUAUAAAAUCAUGGAUCGGCAACUAGCUGGUUUUCAAUCCGUUCUUGCUAGAUGUAUCGUUGUUUUUCUUCUUCUAAGAUAAGAUGGUAGCAUCACAAGUCAUCCUAUCAUGUUGUACUAGUUCCUGAAGUGUAAGAUAAGAUGGUGGCAUCAGAUGUGUGUUCUGACUUGUGGCUGCUUACUAGAUGGAUACAUGCAGCUAGCUAGCAACCUAGUAGUACUAGUAAGAAUAUAUGUGUUUAAUUCUCUCCCUAUACCUUGUGAUUGAUUCUAGGUAUAUACAGAUGCCAUCUCUGUCUGGCAACAUAUGGACCUGAUUACAUUCAGGUGCUCAUUGAGCUGUCUAAGAACAAGUAGAUCAUCAUUUCACCAUCUUCGGCCGCCCCAGGAUGCUGGCCUUCAUUCUUCAAAAGUUGGGUGUACAGGAACUCUAGGAAGA
Triticum dicoccoides is the source of this 1059-nucleotide long non-coding RNA. RefSeq lists it as uncharacterized. The transcript is spliced from 6 exons. NCBI's taxonomy places the organism in Eukaryota, Viridiplantae, Streptophyta, Magnoliopsida, Poales, Poaceae. The record is from RefSeq and is a predicted model, not a curated record.